UACGUAGGGACCGAGCGUUGUCCGGAAUCAUUGGGCGUAAAGAGCGUGUAGGCGGCCUUUUAAGUCCUGCGUGAAAUCCUGCGGCUCAACCGCAGACGGUCGUGGGAAACUGGAAGGCUAGAGUGCGGGAGAGGAGAGUGGAAUUCCAGGUGUAGCGGUGAAAUGCGUAGAUAUCUGGAGGAACACCUGUGGCGAAAGCGGCUCACUGGACCACAACUGACGCUGAUGCACGAAAGCUAGGGGAGCAAACAGG
Molecule: ribosomal RNA, 253 nt
Filed under: uncultured bacterium
Lineage: Bacteria
Description: partial 16S ribosomal RNA
Rfam family: Bacterial small subunit ribosomal RNA
Source: RNAcentral